AGCAAACCUGCUGGACAGAAAGCUUCGGGAAGAAUAAAUGUGCCAAACUGGGUUGGAAAUACAAACAGUUCUUCACAGAUGAAGUCAAUGGUGGCCGAGGGCCAUCAAUGAGCACGUAUUCGUCACCUUUGUUCCGUUUCUGCACUUUAACACACAGAGCCCCGAAAGGAAUGAGACACUCAUUUUACCCUCAUGAGAUCACUUGCAGCUUUCCUGCCAACAAGCCUUCCUGGUGGUUUUCACUACAUGUGGAUUCCUGUCUCUCAAAAGAGAAGCGAUGGCCUGUCCUGAUAGGAGCCUGGAAAGAAGGAUUCAGACCUCCUGGGAACUGUGCUCAGCGGGGUAAGGUGCUGUGGCUUAGAACCGUGUGUUCCCCUGUUCUCUUUGAAUCACCGGCACCUCCUCACGAGGUGACAGCUGAUCGCACAGCUGCCUCAUGAUCUCAGUGUGGUCACGGCAGGACCCUGCACAUCUGUCCACUGACACCAUUUGAUCAGUUUUGGAGUGCCGCGCCUCUGACAGCCAGUCCUUAGGGCCUCCAUGAUCUCCCCUACCUGCCAGUUCCGAGAUUCCUGAUUUAAAUUACAAGCUGACUGGCAGAAGGAAGAGUUGGUGGAGAGGUGCUGGGGACAAUGAGUCAGGCUCUGGACUAAAGUCUUUGUCAUCAGUCACCAGUUAUGUCAUAAGCCUCCUUUGUUAUGACCAAUGCUCACUUUCCCUCAGCUUUGUCUCCUGUAAAAUCCCGCUGACAUCCAGUGGGGAGCAAGGCUGGCCCUUUCCUAGGAUCCUGGGGCUUCUUUGCUCUCCCGCCCUCACUUCUGUCUUCUCCCCCAAGCCCCAGGGCAGCAGCCUUUAGGACUCUCGUUUAGCAACACACGGACACUAAAAGUGAGUGUUUAAGCCGACCCCGCUGCCAGAGCACGUGGGCCUGAGAGUGCCGGAGGCCUCCCCAUCUGCUUAGCAUGGUCCACUGCGCAGAGCCCAUCACCAACAGCUGACUCUGCUGCCGAAGGGAGGAAAGUUGGUCACUGCCCACAGGCCCACAGGGGUCCUGCAGACACAGGCUUGCCAGUACCUCCAGGAACCCAAAAAAGAAAAGCCAAACUCAGGGAAGAGCUUGGCUGAAAGAGGGACUUAGUAAAGAGUCACAUAAGCCACCUUAGCCUUGGGGUAAAAUUAGUAUGCUGGAGGAAGCACCCUUGGUCGACGCCCCCUGAAACCUGGCAACCUUAAAAAAAAAAUGCUUUCCUCUCCUGGCUAUCAAGAAGCCACAUCCUUGUCACAUUUGUGUGGACCGCCCUCAUAAAACUGCAAGUAAUGCACUUCUGCAAAUAGAUGUGGCUGGUUCCCCAAUCUCAGGUCCAUCUGGGCUGAGGCUUUCAAAUCUUUUGCUAAUGAAGACACGACAUGGGCCAGCUGGUUAGAAGUGGAGCCUGGAGGCGAUGGGGGUCUCAGCUUUGCUGACGGCCCGAGAGGAAUGCCUUUGCUCUGUAAUGUUUCACCAAGCCCAAAGACAUCAGGCAAGGGCAAGUGGCCCAAGAGGCCCCGCAUUUCAUCUUUUGGAGAUCCCAUUUGCAUCUGGCACCGUUGUGAAAAGCACAGCUGUUUUCUUUCCAGUCAUCAGAACCGCAUGUUUAUAACAUAAAUAAAUAUGGUAGCAUCUUCACCAUA
This is a non-coding RNA of Peromyscus maniculatus bairdii (prairie deer mouse), 1671 nucleotides long. The record is from RefSeq and is a predicted model, not a curated record. NCBI's taxonomy places the organism in Eukaryota, Metazoa, Chordata, Mammalia, Rodentia, Cricetidae.